Molecule: ribosomal RNA, 253 nt
Filed under: uncultured bacterium
Lineage: Bacteria
Description: partial 16S ribosomal RNA
Rfam family: Bacterial small subunit ribosomal RNA
Source: RNAcentral
UACGGAGGGUGCAAGCGUUGUCCGGAUUUAUUGGGUUUAAAGGGUGCGUAGGCGGUCUUUUAAGUCAGCGGUGAAAUCCUCCAGCUUAACUGGAGAACUGCCAUUGAUACUGGAAGACUUGAGUACAGACGAGGUAGGCGGAAUUGACAGUGUAGCGGUGAAAUGCGUAGAUAUUGUCAAGAACACCGAUUGCGAAGGCAGCUUACUAGACUGUAACUGACGCUGAGGCACGAAAGUGUGGGGAUCAAACAGG